Cercocebus atys (sooty mangabey) is the source of this 3285-nucleotide long non-coding RNA. RefSeq lists it as uncharacterized. Lineage: Eukaryota; Metazoa; Chordata; Mammalia; Primates; Cercopithecidae. The transcript is spliced from 3 exons. The record is from RefSeq and is a predicted model, not a curated record.
ACUAGGCAAGCACUUGCGGCGCCGGGCGUCUCCGCGUCCCUCUGCUCCAGCAGGCGGCCGCGACGGUGGAGCUUGGCCUCUCGCUCUCUCCCGCCUCCCGCAGCGACUGCUCUGCUCUGCCAGGCGCGGAGGUCGGAUCGAGAGGUCAUUCAUUCAUUUCUUAAUUUGUUCACUUAUUCAGGAGAGAUCAUUGAACCCGUACGGAGUACCGGGUACUGGGCCAGGCGCUGAGGACGCGGGGCUAAGCGAAAGCAGCUGAGGCCCGCCUUCGUGCCCCUUAAAAUCCAGCGUGCGGGGCGGCAACGAGCACUGCUUUUCUGUUUUGCACUUAAAAUUUGCAUUUUGCAUCUGUACUUUUUAUUUACUGUGCACCCUUACGGCGUGCUUUAUGCACCCGUGCCUGCACCUCCUAGCCUUGAGUGUAGAACACCAGAUGGGCGAUUUUUCGAGAAUAAUUUUUACCCUAAGUGGAUUUUCGUGCCACGCAUGGACUUGGAACUACACACACGUAGUCAAAAAUGUGAAAGUCAAAAUGCAGCUUUGCCAAGUGGCAGGGAGAAAGGAGAGCUGCGAAGAUGGGGAGAGGAAGGGAGCGCUCCAGGUGUUACAGGCCGAGUGCAGGAGAUUUAGCCCUGCAGGAUGAACGCGGGCUGGUAGCCGGGCGGCGGGAGGGCGGGCGGACCUGUCCGUCAAGUACAAAGCAGAAACGCGGCUCCGGACCCCAGGCAGAGGCCGGCUGGAACAUUUACCACUGGCUCCCGGCGCUCUGGUCCCCACUGGGCGACCUUGAACCUGGCGUGAUCAGUGGAGUCAGCGCAGCCUCGGGAGCUGGAGAGACGCGGGGCGCCGGCGGAGUGCUCCUGCCUUGGGCCUCGGGGCUAGCCUCUGGUCCGGCCUGCCGGCCGCCCCCAGGGUACGCUCUCCCCCACGCGGGUACACCAGCUUUGGGAUCGCCAGCAGCCAUGUCUCUGCUUCUAGAUCUCUUUUUUUUCUUUAAGACUUAGUUGAUAGCUGUUUAAGGAAUUAUGUAGAGGAAGUCUCACCUCCGACCGCCGCCUCCGUUGAGCACGGCCGGGGUCACUGGGUGGGCCAGGAGGAAAGGAAGGGGCGAGGAGGAAGCAGCAAUUUUACUUUAAAUAAAUAUGACACAAAAAUAUUUUUUCAACUCAGAUCUUUCUGAGACAUCCCCAGAAAGCGUUGCCAGCUGUGAUUACACCUAAUGUGAGAGCAUGAACUAAUUUAAGAGGUGAGAGCUGAAUAAUGAGGCAGCAUCCCGUGUAGCGGCCAAGACUGGCGGCUCUGGCAGCGUGCUGGAGGGGACCGGGAGGGGCACCCUUGUAGAACCAGCCCCUGGUGCCCCGGGGUCUUCUCAGUGCCCUAGCGCUGUGCUGUCGGUCACUCCACAGAUAUUUACUGGGUGUCUCCUGAAUGCCGGGUUGCAAUCAAGAGCAAGAGAUGGGGCGAGUGAAAGAGCCUGUUUUCAGGAGCUCACGGAGCAGGGUUACGAUUACUGAGAGGGAGGUGGUGGCCAGCCUCUCCCUCUUCUCUUCAUGCUGAGGCUCUGGUGGGCAGUGCCCAAGUCUGAACUGCCAUCUGUAUGCCAGUGGUUACCCAUCUUGUAUUUCCAGUCUUAGCCUCUCUCUGGUCCAGACUUGUCAUUCUAAGGGCCCUGUUUCACUGACUCACACUGUCUCCUCCCUCCCUGCCUUCCACACUCAGCCCUUCCUUUUUCCCUUUCCCACUGACAACAGCUGCACCCACCCAGAGCUGAAAACUCUCAAGAACCCCAUGUCUAACCUAACUCCCUCUCUAUGCCCUGUUGCUUGAGCCAUUCUCAUUAGGCUGAUUGUUAGGAGUUCAUUAUCUCCUAAUUUUUCAUCCAGGAACUGAAGAAUCACCUCCUGCCUCUCCCAUAUAGUGUUUAUUCUUUCAUUUGAUGAUAUCUGUUAAGUGCCCUGAGAUAUGUAACCUCCACUUCCCUCCCAUAUAAGUGAGAUUUCACAUUGAUUGCUCCCUUGGCUUUCCCCAUCGCUUGUCCACAUAGUAUGUGUUCAAAAUAAUGAACAUUAAUUUAAUGUUAAUAGACAUGUGCUUUUUUGAAUUGUGAGGAUUAAAUGAAAUCAUGUGUCUAGGGAGGAAAAUCCAUUAGAAACCUCAAAAGCAGUCAUGUUUAUUUUUGCUAUUGUCACAUUGUUAGAGUCAGAAUUCUUUUAGCUGCAAGUGACAAAACCGACUCAAAUUGGCUUAAGGACUUUACUUGGUUGAUGCAAAAAGCCUCGGGUUAGGUCCUGCCAUUUAAGGUAGGGCUGGAUCCGUCAAUCGGGUUACCAGGAUCUGUUUUCUAGUUGUGGCUUCAUUUUCAAACAAGUUGUUUCCAUAUGAUAGCCUCCUAGAAGGUACUACCAGCUUAGUCCUAGCAAGAAAAAAGAGUACUUAUUCUUCAAUAUUUGCAGCAGAAGUCCCAGGUCUGUCCUUAUGAAGGCAGAUUGAGUCGCUUGCUCUUCUCUGAAUGUGGAGAAGGGACUGUUUAGAUAACUGAAGUUGGAUUCAGGUGCAUCCCCUGGAAUGGGGUUUGGCAUUAACUUCACGUGGUCUAGAAUAAAGGGGUUCUCCAAAGGAAAAUUAGGGUAGGAAUGCUGAGCAAGCAGAACCAACAGAUAUCUACUUUAGUCCUUCCCAAAGGGUGAGCUGCAAUACAUUGCACACCAUCAGAAUGGUGAUGAAGACGGAUACAGUAGCCAAGACAAUAGAUGUGCGUUUGUCAUGGUCUUUUUCAGUCUUCAAGACCUCAGCUAAACAUGAAGUCAACCACUCACUAUGAUGUUAUUUGAGGUUUAGCUUUGAAGUGUAAAUGUACCACAAAUAGUAGAGCCAGAUAAAUAUAAAUAAAUAAUGUUAACAGUCGACUCUAAAAGAUUUCUUUGGUAACAUUCUGUUGGAAUUGGUUUCUAUCUUUUCAUUUGUUAGGUUCCUGGAAAGUGAAAUUUUCAUUUCUUUGUGGACAGGCACCUAAAACAUCUCAUAAUUCAUCAAUUAAUGAAAAGCAAAUGAAAAUUUGAGAGAGAUAUUCUGAAGAAUAAAAGGAUCAAGUUGGGUCAUUUCUAAAAUGGCCUGUGCCUACUGUAAAGAUGACGCACACAUGAUGUCUGCCUUGCCGGAGUUGGUGUUUAGCGAUAAUAAGAGAUGCAUACCUGAAAAGCCUAUUUAAGACUCUUCCAGUUCUACAAAGAAGGCUUCUUGAAAGUGACGGAGUCUUGCUCUGUCGCCCAGGCUGGAGUGCAGUGG